UACGGGGGGGGCAAGCGUUGUUCGGAAUUACUGGGCGUAAAGGGCUCGUAGGCGGCCAACUAAGUCAUACGUGAAAUCCCUCGGCUUAACUGGGGAACUGCGUCCGAUACUGGAUGGCUUGGAUUUGGGAGAGGGAUGCGGAAUUCCAGGUGUAGCGGUGAAAUGCGUAGAUAUCUGGAGGAACACCGGUGGCGAAGGCGGCAUCCUGGACCAAUAUUGACGCUGAGGAGCGAAAGCCAGGGGAGCAAACGGG
RNAcentral lists this ribosomal RNA (253 nucleotides) under uncultured bacterium. RNAcentral's name for it is "partial 16S ribosomal RNA". It matches the Rfam family "Bacterial small subunit ribosomal RNA", at positions 524 to 776 of the family's 1533-position model. The record is from RNAcentral.